This 253-nucleotide ribosomal RNA is filed under the name uncultured bacterium. Its description in RNAcentral is "partial 16S ribosomal RNA". It matches the Rfam family "Bacterial small subunit ribosomal RNA", at positions 524 to 776 of the family's 1533-position model. The record is from RNAcentral.
UACGGGGGGGGCAAACGUUGUUCGGAAUUACUGGGCGUAAAGCGAGUGUAGGCGGUUUGGUAAGUCGGAUGUGAAAGCCCCGGGCUCAACCCGGGAAGUGCACUCGAUACUGCCAAGCUAGAGUAUCGGAGAGGUUGGUAGAAUUCUCGGUGUAGAGGUGAAAUUCGUAGAUAUCGAGAGGAACACCGGUGGCGAAGGCGGCCAACUGGACGAAUACUGACGCUGAGACUCGAAAGCGUGGGGAGCAAACAGG